This 180-nucleotide small RNA is filed under the name Mycobacterium sp. RNAcentral's name for it is "Magnesium sequence". It matches the Rfam family "M-box riboswitch aptamer (ykoK leader)". From Rfam's summary of the family: M-box riboswitch, also know as ykoK leader is described as a metaloregulatory RNA that sense divalent metals and function as a genetic control element of genes related to divalent metal transport in bacteria. It was first reported upstream of the B.subtilis ykoK gene and genes with related functions in other bacteria. The record is from RNAcentral. Lineage: Bacteria; Bacillati; Actinomycetota; Actinomycetes; Mycobacteriales; Mycobacteriaceae.
CAAGCACCUCGGUAGGUGAGGCGUCUGCACGGACACAGGCCACUGACCCCGAACGUCGAGAGACGCCCCGGGUCAGGACAGCUCUUCCCGGACCCAAGGGUUGAGCCCAAGUGGCUUCCGGACCACCAAUGAUGGUCGGAUACGCCGUGCAGUGCCGAAGCUCCGACGAGGGGGUGUUGU